AUGGACAUUCACCUAGCUGGUCUACUCAGGACAACGUCUAUUUCAGAGAGUGCAAAUUCAUUCUUUAAACGUUUCAUUCGUCUCAAGCUUACCUUUGUUGAGUUUUGGCUAAGGUUUGACACUGCUUUGAAAUGUCAAAGGCAAAGUGAGCCGAUUGCCGAUAACACAAGUGAAUACACAACAAGUGAGUUGUUGACAUCAUGGGAAAUAGAGAGAGAAGGCAGGGCGCUAUUCACUCAUGAGGUUUUUGAAUUGUUUCAGGCUCAGGUGCUUGCUGCCGGAGAUGAUUGUGAUGUUCAACAGACAGAAAAUCGUGAGGGGAUUAAAAUCAUGUUUGUCAGCGAUCAAUACAAGAAGAUUAGAGAAGUGUGUUAUGACACAACAUCCAUGACUACUAAAUGUUCUUGCAAGCUUUUUUAG
This 420-nucleotide ribosomal RNA is filed under the name Triticum aestivum (bread wheat). Its description in RNAcentral is "partial small subunit ribosomal RNA". Lineage: Eukaryota; Viridiplantae; Streptophyta; Magnoliopsida; Poales; Poaceae. The record is from RNAcentral.